ACGAACGCUGGCGGCGUGCUUAACACAUGCAAGUCGAGCGGGGAUGUUUGCUGGAAAGCUUCGGCUGGAAGGUAGAUGUCCUAGCGGCGGACGGGUGAGUAACGCGUGGGUAACCUGCCCUCAAGACUGGGAUACCAACUCGAAAGGGUUGUUAAUACCGGAUGUGCUGCUAAGGUCGCAUGACCAUAGCAGUAAAGGGGAAACUCGCUUGAGGAUGGACCUGCGUUCCAUUAGCUAGUUGGUAGGGUAGCGGCCUACCAAGGCGACGAUGGAUAGCCGGCCUGAGAGGGUGACCGGCCACACUGGGACUGAGAUACGGCCCAGACUCCUACGGGGGGCAGCAGUGGGGAAUCUUGCACAAUGGGCGAAAGCCUGAUGCAGCAACGCCGCGUGAGGGAAGAAGGUUUUCGGAUCGUAAACCUCUGUCCAGAGGGACGAAGCAAGUGACGGUACCUUUGGAGGAA
RNAcentral lists this ribosomal RNA (464 nucleotides) under uncultured bacterium BHA10. RNAcentral describes it as "bacterial SSU rRNA". It matches the Rfam family "Bacterial small subunit ribosomal RNA", at positions 29 to 489 of the family's 1533-position model. The record is from RNAcentral.